AGAGUUUGAUCCUGGCUCAGAUUGAACGCUGGCGGCAUGCCUAACACAUGCAAGUCGAACGGGUUGUAGCAAUACAACUAGUGGCGGACGGGUGAGGAAUACAUAGGAAUUUGCCUUCAGGUGGGGGAUAGUCCGGGGAAACUCGGUUUAAUACCGCAUGAUGUCGCAAGACCAAAGCAGGGGAUCGUAAGACCUUGCGCCUUUAGAGAAGCCUAUGUCGGAUUAGCUAGUUGGUAGGGUAAUGGCCUACCAAGGCGACGAUCCGUAACUGGUCUGAGAGGACGAUCAGUCACACCGGAACUGAGACACGGUCCGGACUCCUACGGGAGGCAGCAGUGGGGAAUAUUGGACAAUGGGCGAAAGCCUGAUCCAGCAAUGCCGCGUGUGUGAAGAAGGCCUUCGGGUUGUAAAGCACUUUAGGCUGGGAAGAAAAAGCUUCACCUAAUACGUGAAGCCUUGACGGUACCAGCGGAAUAAGCACCGGCUAACUCUGUGCCAGCAGCCGCGGUAAUACAGAGGGUGCUAGCGUUAAUCGGAUUUACUGGGCGUAAAGCGUGUGUAGGCGGUUCGUUAAGUCGGAUGUGAAAGCCCUGGGCUCAACCUAGGAAUUGCAUUCGAUACUGGCGGGCUAGAGUACGGUAGAGGGCGGCGGAAUUCCGGGUGUAGCGGUGAAAUGCGUAGAUAUCCGGAGGAACACCGAUGGCGAAGGCAACCGCCUGGGCCUGUACUGACGCUGAGACACGAAAGCGUGGGGAGCAAACAGGAUUAGAUACCCUGGUAGUCCACGCCGUAAACGAUGAGAACUUGACGUCGGUUUGCUCUGCGAAUCGGUGUCGAAGCUAACGCGCUAAGUUCUCCGCCUGGGGAGUACGGCCGCAAGGUUGAAACUCAAAGGAAUUGACGG
This 904-nucleotide ribosomal RNA is filed under the name uncultured bacterium. RNAcentral's name for it is "bacterial SSU rRNA". It matches the Rfam family "Bacterial small subunit ribosomal RNA", at positions 8 to 916 of the family's 1533-position model. The record is from RNAcentral.